Long non-coding RNA from Capsicum annuum, 1306 nucleotides. RefSeq lists it as uncharacterized. The record is from RefSeq and is a predicted model, not a curated record. Lineage: Eukaryota; Viridiplantae; Streptophyta; Magnoliopsida; Solanales; Solanaceae. The transcript is spliced from 2 exons.
AACAUCAAUUCACCAAGGCCCAAAAGAUCAGCUGACCGGACCCAUCACACUUUCUAUUCUUCAGUACCUAGCACCUGAUAACCACAACAGUAACAACAAAGAUACCAAUAAUAAUCAAACAAUAUAUCAACCAAUGGCUUAAACAACGACAACUUCAGCAAUAUCGACGCCGAACAACACUAAAACUAUGGAAAAAUGAAAAAUCCGAUGGUUUUUCACCUCUCCCUUCGUCGGUCCUCACUCCUCACCCACAAUUUCAACUCGUCUCCAUCAACAUCACUUCACCUGCUUUCUAAAAAGGGAGGAAUAUUGACGUUCAAGGGUUUUUGGGAGUAUUUUUUCUUUGAUUCUGUGGACAAAUAAUUGUUCACCUUGAAGAACACAAAUCGUCAAAUCCAAAAUCUCUAUCUUUCAAAUCCCUUCUGAAAAGAUAAUUUCCUUUCCCUUAACACUCUGAAAACCAUUACUUUUCAAAUUCAAAUUUUGAAUCUUCUUAAAGGCUACUCCAAGAACCUGUUACCCAUCUAAUUUCGCCUACAAAAGGAGGUCUCUUCAACCCCUUUGAAAACAAGGUUAAGUGGUAAAGAAAUCAGGGAAUACUUGGGUUCUAUCACACUCUCUGUUUCACUAAAUUCUUUAUUUUCUUUUUUCUUCUCUAUUCCAAUUUACUUCCAUCGCUCUCAUUGUUUCCCUUCGUCGUUUGAAUUCGGAGUCGAAGGUAGUGGUGGAAUUGCUCUUGGACUUGUCUUCUAGUUCGCUGCCACAGAAAAGGCUCUCAUAUAUCGCAUUCCGUUGGGUUAAACCCAACCUCCAUCAAGUCAAAGCCUCAACCAAAUUCACAAACGAGCUGGUAUACAUUGAUAUACUCUGAUAUACGGUGAAUAUACAUUGGAGGCAGCAACUGCACGCUACCCCAAAAUUUAUGAUGAAAAAUGGAGCCAAAAUAUGUAUGUAUCCACAUUAAUAUACACUGUAUACGUUGUGGUAUACAGAAAAAUGCAGGAAAAAAGCUAUUGAUAUACAGUAGUUAUACAGGAGCGAAAAUGGGUACACAUUAAUAUACACUGUAUACGUUGUGGUAUACAGAAAAAUGCAGGAAAAAAGCUAUUGAUAUACAAUAGAUAUACAGGAGCGAAAAUGGGCUGAAAGUCCAUGGAAUUUGUCCAAGAACUGGACAGACCUUUAAUGGGCCAAAAGGGGCCCAAUUUUAACUCUCCUUUAUUUAUUAUGCAUUCUAAUUUAUUUAUUUGUGUUUGUUUGAACACUUUAAUUAAUUAAUCUAGAUAAAUUCUUCAAGGUUUCGCCA